UCCAUUGUCUUGGAGCAGGGCCACCCUCACACAGGAAGCUGUGUGUAUCACUGCUCACUGCAGGCAGAAACGCUGCGAAGGCCUUCCUAUGACUGAUAAACGGUGUUUGGUUUGGAUCAAGAGGAAAAAUAAGGCGCUCAGGAUAACAGGGGGCCGGUGGGAAAACAUUCGGAACUCCAGAAUGAGAGCAAAAGAAGAGAGACUGCUUUGAAGGUUCCACGAGGUGGUUAACUAACAAGGAACAAUGAGGGCAGCCCAGGCAGGGGCUUCCUUCCACCCAGCUGCAGUCAAAGCCACCGGUGGCCAGGGAGCUGGCAGGAACCCUGUUAUGGCUGGGGAGAACAAACAGGCUUGGUCAAGGAAGCCAAGCCCCCUUCAAAGAACUAUGCCCCAACCCCCACAGCUUUGGGAGUGUUUGCUGACAAGGUCUAGGCUCACAGAAGACAAUGAGGCUGUAUUUUCUGUGAAGAGCCGAGACAAAAUCUGGACAGUUUGGUGAGAGAAGGGACGGCGAUUGAAGGUAUAAGAAAAGGAUUGUGCCAGUUUGGGUCCCUGGUCCAGGGACCAGGGCUGCCAGAUCCUGCAGAUGGGAAGUGGUCUGGCUGUCCCAGCACCUUCCUUGUGUGCCCACCGGGCCCCUGGGGCUGUAGUAGGCAGCUGUUGGCAUUAACAGAGAUAUAUGCAGAGGAUAUAAUCAGAGAUAUCUCUCCCGUACCCAGAGAAUGCCUAAAGCCACAGAUGGUAUUGAAUUGUAUUAAAAUUGUGUGUUUCCUGUACACAUAUACUUAUGCUAAAGUUUAACUAUAGUAAUAAAGUGGUCAAUCAAAGCAA
This 831-nucleotide long non-coding RNA is filed under the name Mus pahari (shrew mouse). RNAcentral's name for it is "RIKEN cDNA 2700046A07 gene (MGP_PahariEiJ_G0004723.1)". Lineage: Eukaryota; Metazoa; Chordata; Mammalia; Rodentia; Muridae. The record is from RNAcentral.